AGUGAACGCUGGCGGUAGGCCUAACACAUGCAAGUCGAACGGCAGCACAGUAAGAGCUUGCUCUUACGGGUGGCGAGUGGCGGACGGGUGAGGAAUACAUCGGAAUCUACUUUUUCGUGGGGGAUAACGUAGGGAAACUUACGCUAGUACCGCAUACGAUCUACGGGUGAAAGCAGGGGAUCUUCGGACCUUGCGCGAUUGAAUGAGCUGAUGUCGGAUUAGCUAGUUGGCGGGGUAAAGGCCCACCAAGGCGACGAUCCGUAGCUGGUCUGAGAGGAUGAUCGGCCACACUGGAACUGAGACACGGUCCAGACUCCUACGGGAGGCAGCAGUGGGGAAUAUUGGACAAUGGGCGCAAGCCUGAUCCAGCCAUACCGCGUGGGUGAAGAAGGCCUUCGGGUUGUAAAGCCCUUUUGUUGGGAAAGAAAAGCAGCAGGUUAAUACCCCGCUGUUCUGACGGUACCCAAAGAAUAAGCACCGGCUAACUUCGUG
This 492-nucleotide ribosomal RNA is filed under the name uncultured bacterium. RNAcentral's name for it is "partial 16S ribosomal RNA". It matches the Rfam family "Bacterial small subunit ribosomal RNA", at positions 29 to 507 of the family's 1533-position model. The record is from RNAcentral.